Molecule: long non-coding RNA, 3711 nt
Filed under: Ananas comosus (pineapple)
Lineage: Eukaryota; Viridiplantae; Streptophyta; Magnoliopsida; Poales; Bromeliaceae
Description: long non-coding RNA (ACOM_LNC036799)
Source: RNAcentral
CCUAUGCUUCAAAAGCUAUAUUUAACUAUCAGGUUACUGUUACGGCGGUGGGCCACCAACAAAUACGUUCUAUAUACUUGUUAUGGUAUAUAGAGAUUCCCACAAAAAGUAAAAUAGAAAAGACGAGAGGAAGAAGACAAAUUAAAGAAUCUGGUACGUUGUCAUUGAAGCAAAACUAAAAAUAACUUUAUUGAAGAAAAUAACUCAUCUCCAUAUGCAACCUUCGGCGAGCGCUAAUUAAUUAUGGCGACUCCCGGCUUCAUUAACCAAAUAAUUCAGGUCUACCUAUUUAUAACUAAUUACAUAGAAUCCUACUCUGAUUUGAUCUUAUCUUAACCAUCAUUUAAAUAAUAACCGAAUAUAUCUUAACCAUAACCGAAUAUAAUAAUAGAUAAUAUCAAAUAAUCUAAUCCUAAUCUAAUUAGCAUUAUCCUUAACACUCCGCCAUAAUGCUAAUGUUCUUCACACCGAUCUUCUCUCGGCAAAAUAUGAAUUUCUCCAAUGCUGGCGACUUUAUGAAAAUAUCGUCCAUCUGCUCCUCGGCUGCGUAUUGUAUCCAACUCGAACCCUUCUCGUACUUUUUCGAUCACCAAUUGAACCUGUCCAAUUACUAUUAAAGCAACCAAAAUAAAAAUCGUUAGGAUUAGUAUACCACAACCGGUAGUUUGUUGUUCUUUUCAAAUCUCUCAAUAUUCUUUUCGCCUUAUAUAUCCACUUAAAUCCAAUAACUUUUUUAUCUAUAGACGAUUCAUCAAACUCGUAGAUAUUAUUUUUCCUUAACGCCGUAUUUUUUUUGUUCGUCGCCUUAUACCAAUCAUUAGAUUUUGUCGCCUCCUCGAAGUUUUGUGAUUCUCCACAUUGUGAAUACAUGCAUUGUUCGUAUAUUUCACUAAGUGAUCUUACUUUUCUUGGCGUCGUCUCUGGAGAAGUUUCUGGUGAAAUCCGCGGUGAAGCUUGUGGUGUUGUUUCUGUGCUUGUCGUAUUUUCGCCAUUGUUUCUAUGUUUAGUUGCAGUUUCAUUUUCGAAUAUCAGAAGUGGAUUAUCCUGCACUUUUGCGCUCCAAUCCCAAGCUUUUUGUUCAUCAAAUAUAGCAUCACGACUUAUAAUUAAACAGUUAGUAGCAGGAUUAUAAAAUCGAUAGGCUUUACUUCUUUCGCUAUAUCCAACAAAAAUACACUUCUGACUAUUAUCAUCCAAUUUUUGCCUAUUUUGUGAUGGGGUAUGAACAAAAAAAACUGAUCCAAAAAUUUUAAAGUGUUUUACCUUCGGUUUCCACCCCGUUCAUACUUCAUAAGGUGUAAUAUUCUCCAGCGCUAAAGUUGGACUUCUAUUGAGAAUGUAUGCUGCAGUAGAUACCGCUUCUGCCCAAAAUUUGUUCGGGAGAUUUUUUGGUUUCAACAUGCUUUUUGCCAUCUCGACUAAAUUUUGAUUUUUGCGCUCUACAACACCGUUCUGCUGAGGCGUGUAACUGGUUGUCAACUGCCUGUGGAUACCAUUAGCCUUACAAAAAUUUUCAAACUUGUUAGAAAUAAAUUUUUCCCCUCGGAGAGUCCUAAUAUAAUAACCGGAUUCGUUCUCAACCAAAAUUUUAAAUUUUUGAAAAACAUCAAAAGCUUCAGAUUUAUUUUUGAUAAAAUAAACCCAAGUCAUGCGGCUAUAAUCAUCCACGAAAACUACAAAAUAGUAAUUGUUGCUGAGCUACGGUGUCUGCAUUGGUCCACAUACAUCUGCAUGUAUCAAUUCUAAUGGUUCUCUGGCUCUCCAAUUAUUCAUUCUUGGAAAAGAGUCCAUGUGAUGCUUUCUUAGCACACAACUUUCACAUACAGAACCAUUAUUAUGCACCAAGGGCAAACCAUCAACCAUAUUCUUUUUAUGUAAUAGAUCAAGUCCCUUAAAACUCAAGUGACCAUAUCGAUAGUGCCAUAACCAAUCAUCAUCUAGCACUACUUUCAUUGCAACAUGAACAGAAAAAACUUUAUUUUCUGUUAUCGGAACUUCAAAAAGCAAAUUCUUUUUAUCAUUAUCUCCAUAAAUUGUGCACUUAGAAUCUUCAAAAAUAAGCGAAUGACUUUCUUUCAAAAAUUGACCCACACUAAAAAGAUUGGAAUUCAAUCCUGGAACAUAUAAGACAUUAUUUAUUUUUUGCAUUCCAGAAAUAUUUACCGCAAUUGUAACUCUUCCGUGCACGUCAUGGACAUAGCCGUCACCCAUUGUCACGCGGCCUUUAACUGAUUUGUCCAAAUUAAUAAAGUUUUCUUCUUUUCCUGUCAUGUGAUUGCUACAACCGCUAUCAACAUACCAAAUAUUGUUAGCAGUUUUUUCUAAUGAACGACAUGCAAAAGUACAUUAUCGUUUUCAUUCUUUUCACAAGCAAAAUUCGCAUUCUGUUGUUUCAAUCGACAAAAGCACUCGAUAUGGCCAAAUUUUUUACAAUAAUAACAUUGAAUAUUUUUACGAUUGUGGGAUUGAUCGUUACCUCCGUAGGUUCUCUGAUUUUGAUUACCUGAUCCUUCAUUAUUUCUGUUGUUGAAACCACCUGAUCUACCACCACGGCCUCUACCACGGCCACAACCACGACCUCUACCACGACCUCUAAAUGUUGAAGCUUGACGAUUGAAAGUAUCUGUACCACCUUUUUCAUCGCUUUUCGAUUCGCUUUGAAAAGCAUGCUCAGAAAAAUUUUCAGUUCUAUCAUUUCGUUCUUCAUGUGCUAAAAGGGAAUCAAGAAGUUCGCUACAAGAUAAUUUAGAUAAAUCUUUUGCCUCUUCUAUAGCAGAAACAACAUCACCAUAUUUUUUCGUUAGACUUCUUAAAAUUUUUUCGACUACUGUUUGAUCAGUAAUCUGUUCACCAUAUGUACGCAUCAAGAUAACUAAUUCCAUAACUUUAGAAUAAAAUGUAUAAAUAUUUUCAUUUUCUUGCAUAAAAGAAGCUUCAAAUCUUCUUUUUAAAGUUUGAAUCUUAACUCUGAGUACCUUUUUGUUACCUUGGUAUUCCUUCUGUAAUAUAUCCCAUGCUUCCUUCGAUUUAAUAGCACCGGUAAUGUGGGAAAAUAUAAAAUCGUCAACUGAUUGCUGAAUAAAGAAAAGUGCCUUUACAUCUUUUUUCAGAUUCUCUCCGGUUGUUUCCUUGCAUCCUUUUUCGACAAAAUCCCAUAAAUCUUGGGAUCGUAGCAACGUCCGCAUCUUCACGCACCAAAAAUCAUAAUUGUCCCCCUUGAAUAUCGGAAAUCCUUGUGCAACUCUGUUAGCGCUGUUAGACGCCAUCGACACCUUCUCCUCUCAAAAUCCAGGCUCUGAUACCACAUGUUACGGCGGUGGGCCACCAACAAAUACGUUCUAUAUACUUGUUAUGAUAUAUAGAGAUCCCCACAAAAAGUAAAAUAAAAAAGACGAGACGAAGAAGACAAAUCAAAAAAUCUGGUACGUUGUCAUUGAAGCAAAACUAAAAAUAACUUUAUUGAAGAAAAUAACUCAUCUCCAUAUGCAACCUUCAGUGAGCGCUAAUUAAUUAUGGCGACUCCCGGCUUCAUUAACCAAAUAAUUCCGGCCUACCUAUUUAUAACUAACUACAUAAAAUCCUACUCUGAUUUGAUCUUAUCUUAAUCAUCAUUUAAAUAAUAACCGAAUAUAUCUUAACCAUAACCGAAUAUAAUAAUGGAUAAUAUCAAAUAAUCUAAUUCUAAUCUAAUUAGCAUUAUCUUUAACAGUU